Molecule: ribosomal RNA, 490 nt
Filed under: uncultured bacterium
Lineage: Bacteria
Description: partial 16S ribosomal RNA
Rfam family: Bacterial small subunit ribosomal RNA
Source: RNAcentral
GAUGAACGCUAGCGAUAGGCUUAACACAUGCAAGUCGAGGGGCAGCAUGGUCUUAGCUUGCUAAGGCUGAUGGCGACCGGCGCACGGGUGCGUAACGCGUAUGCAACUUGCCUCACAGAGGGGGAUAACCCGUCGAAAGACGGACUAAUACCGCGUACACUCUAUGUUGGGCAUCCAAUGUAGAGGAAAUGAAAUUCGCUGUGAGAUAGGCAUGCGUCCCAUUAGCUAGUUGGUGAGGUAACGGCUCACCAAGGCGACGAUGGGUAGGGGAACUGAGAGGUUGAACCCCCACACUGGUACUGAGACACGGACCAGACUCCUACGGGAGGCAGCAGUGAGGAAUAUUGGUCAAUGGGCGAGAGCCUGAACCAGCCAAGUCGCGUGAAGGAUGACUGUCUUAUGGAUUGUAAACUUCUUUUAUACGGGAAUAACAAGAGUCACGUGUGGCUCCCUGUAUGUACCGUAUGAAUAAGCAUCGGCUAACUCCGUG